Molecule: ribosomal RNA, 483 nt
Filed under: uncultured bacterium
Lineage: Bacteria
Description: bacterial SSU rRNA
Rfam family: Bacterial small subunit ribosomal RNA
Source: RNAcentral
AUUAAACGCUGGCGGCAUGCCUUACACAUGCAAGUCGAACGGCAGCACGGGGGCAAUCCUGGUGGCGAGUGGCGAACGGGUGAGUAAUGUAUCGGAACGUGCCCAGUCGUGGGGAUAACGCAGCGAAAGCUGUGCUAAUACCGCAUACGAUCUACGGAUGAAAGCGGGGGAUCGAAAGACCUCGCGCGACUGGAGCGGCCGAUAUCAGAUUAGCUAGUUGGUGGGGUAAAGGCUCACCAAGGCGACGAUCUGUAGCUGGUCUGAGAGGAUGAUCCGCCACACUGGGACUGAGACACGGCCCAGACUCCUACGGGAGGCAGCAGUGGGGAAUUUUGGACAAUGGGGGAAACCCUGAUCCAGCCAUGCCGCGUGAGUGAAGAAGGCCUUCGGGUUGUAAAGCUCUUUCGGCUGGGAAGAAAUCGCACAGGCUAAUACUCUGUGUGGAUGACGGUACCAGCACAAGAAGCACCGGCUAACUACGUG